Molecule: non-coding RNA, 70 nt
Filed under: unclassified sequences
Description: int-alpA RNA
Rfam family: int-alpA RNA
About the family: Acidobacteria (1 example), Planctomycetes (1 example), Proteobacteria. Environment (Lake Washington)
Source: Rfam by way of RNAcentral
CAGUGGGCUAGGUUGGCCGCCGAAAAGCGUAAACCUUGAUACGCCUGUCCACUGUUUUUAUAAAUCAAGG